RNAcentral lists this ribosomal RNA (429 nucleotides) under bacterium. Its description in RNAcentral is "partial 16S ribosomal RNA". It matches the Rfam family "Bacterial small subunit ribosomal RNA", at positions 355 to 776 of the family's 1533-position model. The record is from RNAcentral.
UAGGGAAUCUUCGGCAAUGGGGGCAACCCUGACCGAGCAACGCCGCGUGAGUGAAGAAGGUUUUCGGAUCGUAAAGCUCUGUUGUAAGAGAAGAACGUGUGUGAGAGUGGAAAGUUCACACAGUGACGGUAACUUACCAGAAAGGGACGGCUAACUACGUGCCAGCAGCCGCUGUAAUACGUAGGUCCCGAGCGUUGUCCGGAGUUAUUGGGCGUAAAGCGAGCGCAGGCGGUUUAAUAAGUCUGAAGUUAAAGGCAGUGGCUUAACCAUUGUUCGCUUUGGAAACUGUUAAACUUGAGUGCAGAAGGGGAGAGUGGAAUUCCAUGUGUAGCGGUGAAAUGCGUAGAUAUAUGGAGGAACACCGGUGGCGAAAGCGCCUCUCUGGUCUGUAACUGACGCUGAGGCUCGAAAGCGUGGGGAGCAAACAGG